Molecule: ribosomal RNA, 414 nt
Filed under: uncultured bacterium
Lineage: Bacteria
Description: bacterial SSU rRNA
Rfam family: Bacterial small subunit ribosomal RNA
Source: RNAcentral
UAGGGAAUAUUGCACAAUGGGGAAACCCUGAUGCAGCGACGCCGCGUGAAGGAAGAAGUAUCUCGGUAUGUAAACUUCUAUCAGCAGGGAAGACAAUGACGGUACCUGACUAAGAAGCCCCGGCUAACUACGUGCCAGCAGCCGCGGUAAUACGUAGGGGGCAAGCGUUAUCCGGAUUUACUGGGUGUAAAGGGAGCGUAGACGGAUCUGCAAGUCUGGAGUGAAAGCCCGGGCUACCCUGGAACCGUGCUUUGGAAACUGUGGAUCUGGAGUGCCGGAGAGGUAAGCGGAAUUCCUAGUGUAGCGGUGAAAUGCGUAGAUAUUAGGAGGAACACCAGUGGCGAAGGCGGCUUACUGGACGGUAACUGACGUUGAGGCUCGAAAAGCGUGGGGAGCAAACAGGAUUAGAUACCC